Molecule: ribosomal RNA, 497 nt
Filed under: uncultured bacterium
Lineage: Bacteria
Description: partial 16S ribosomal RNA
Rfam family: Bacterial small subunit ribosomal RNA
Source: RNAcentral
GACGAACGCUGGCGGCGUGCCUAAUACAUGCAAGUUGAGCGAUGAAGAUUGGUGCUUGCCCCAAUUUGAAGAGCAGCGAACGGGUGAGUAACGCGUGGGGAAUCUGCCUUUGAGCGGGGGACAACAUUUGGAAACGAAUGCUAAUACCGCAUAACAACUUUAAACAUAAGUUUUAAGUUUGAAAGAUGCAAUUGCAUCACUCAAAGAUGAUCCCGCGUUGUAUUAGCUAGUUGGUGAGGUAAAGGCUCACCAAGGCGAUGAUACAUAGCCGACCUGAGAGGGUGAUCGGCCACAUUGGGGCUGGGACACGGCCCAAACUCCUACGGGAGGCAGCAGUAGGGAAUCUUCGGCAAUGGACGAAAGUCUGACCGAGCAACGCCGCGUGAGUGAAGAAGGUUUUCGGAUCGUAAAACUCUGUUGGUAGAGAAGAACGUUGGUGAGAGUGGAAAGCUCAUCAAGUGACGGUAACUACCCAGAAAGGGACGGCUAACUACGUG